This 1545-nucleotide long non-coding RNA is filed under the name Cervus hanglu yarkandensis (Yarkand deer). RNAcentral's name for it is "lncRNA (ENSCHYG00000000294.1)". The record is from RNAcentral. Lineage: Eukaryota; Metazoa; Chordata; Mammalia; Artiodactyla; Cervidae.
GGAACUUCCUCAGGCCAAGGACCAGCAAAAUCUGGAAGAAUCUGCCUGGAAGCUGAUUUCCCUGGUUUCUGUCCCAGAGGUCAGCUCUGUAUCCCCACUCUGAUCCCAGUACAACAAAACAGGAUGGAUGAAUUCCCCUGAUGUUCUAGGUGCAGGCAAGUGUUUUCCACGGUAUGAACCUCUCUCUCCUACGGACUUGAUCUCACAAACUUCCCCCUUUCAGAGACAAGUGGUUUAUGAAGCUAAUUCAUACUAAUAUGUGAACAGCUGCCUGCUGACUUUCACCUGCCCUGUGUAUUUGACUAUGAACUCCUGGAGCACAGAGACAGUUUUAUUCCUCUUCGUGGUUGCAGUGCCAAGUACAAGGCUUGGUACAGAGUUGGUGUUGUGUGGAUAAUCAUAAAGAAGACAGCAAUAAUAAAUCAUAACAGCCAACAAUCACUAAAUGUUUUCUAAAUGCCACACAAUCAGGUAAGGGUUUUAUGUAUGUUACCUUAUCUCAUCUUCACUUUGUGUGGUAGGUACUGUACUUAUUCCCAUUUCACAGAGGAGGAAACUGAGGCUCGGGGAGGUGAAAUAACUUAUCCAGGAAUCUAAAGCGGUGGAGGUAAUGUUCAAAUCAAGGCAACCUGACUCCCAAAUGCACAUUCUUAAUGGAGUAAGCUAGGUAAUUCGGACCAAGGUUAAUUAGGCUCGAUCUGAAGUUCUUCUUUUAUAAAACACUCAACACCUCUUCCCAAAUGUCUCUAAUGAUUAAUUUUAGGCUUCCAUGAGUGUGGUUUUUUUUUUUUUUUUCAGGAAGUCCCCAAAUCCCAAUCAGAGUGAUUCGGGAGAGGACCAGAAGAUGUCAAUGGAUGUGGUUUUCCUUCCUACCUUCUCCUGCUCCCACCUGUCUGGUGAAAAUAUAGGAGCCCCUGGGAUGCCCAGCUUCAGGGCGGGCCUGGAGAAGACUCAGGGAAGCCAAACCUUUGCUGGAGGCCAGGGAGCCUCACUUUGGGUUCUCUUGAAGCCCCUAUUUUUCAGAGGUCCCCUGAUUGCCCUUCUCGUGGCUCACGGCUCCUCAGCGAGCGGGCUCACUCUGCACAGGUGUUCGUGUCUCCCAUCAGACGCCUCAAAGCUGGGAGGAAGAUCAUAGCCAGGAUGGCCUUCGCCUAGACUUCUUGUUGAAAGGGAAGCCCUCAGAGAAGAGACACAGCCGCAGGACACGUGUACCUGCAGAGACGGCCACCAGCCACUCGCCACAGCCUCCACGCUCAUCUCCAUCACCCGGGUCCUGGCUCCCCUCCUCCAGGAAGCCCUCCCUGGUGAGCCCCACCCACAUGCCCUGUUAUGCUGCUCGCUUGGGUUCCAGGAAGCUCGGGGCGAUCACAGCUCUGGGGAGAAGACCAGAGAGCAAGACUCAGGCAUCUCUAGAGUUCAGAACUGGACUUUCAGUUCCAGAUCCUGGUUUCUGUCCUCUUCUUCCCUCUUCUUUUUACGAAGAGACUCUCUCAGUCAUCCUUGCUUUUCUUUUUCUCCCUUCUUGUCUCUUCUUGCCUUAUUCCC